This 1489-nucleotide ribosomal RNA is filed under the name Lactiplantibacillus plantarum. RNAcentral describes it as "bacterial SSU rRNA". It matches the Rfam family "Bacterial small subunit ribosomal RNA". The record is from RNAcentral. Lineage: Bacteria; Bacillati; Bacillota; Bacilli; Lactobacillales; Lactobacillaceae.
GACGAACGCUGGCGGCGUGCCUAAUACAUGCAAGUCGAACGAACUCUGGUAUUGAUUGGUGCUUGCAUCAUGAUUUACAUUUGAGUGAGUGGCGAACUGGUGAGUAACACGUGGGAAACCUGCCCAGAAGCGGGGGAUAACACCUGGAAACAGAUGCUAAUACCGCAUAACAACUUGGACCGCAUGGUCCGAGCUUGAAAGAUGGCUUCAGCUAUCACUUUUGGAUGGUCCCGCGGCGUAUUAGCUAGAUGGUGGGGUAACGGCUCACCAUGGCAAUGAUACGUAGCCGACCUGAGAGGGUAAUCGGCCACAUUGGGACUGAGACACGGCCCAAACUCCUACGGGAGGCAGCAGUAGGGAAUCUUCCACAAUGGACGAAAGUCUGAUGGAGCAACGCCGCGUGAGUGAAGAAGGGUUUCGGCUCGUAAAACUCUGUUGUUAAAGAAGAACAUAUCUGAGAGUAACUGUUCAGGUAUUGACGGUAUUUAACCAGAAAGCCACGGCUAACUACAUGCCAGCAGCCGCGGUAAUACGUAGGUGGCAAGCGUUGUCCGGAUUUAUUGGGCGUAAAGCGAGCGCAGGCGGUUUUUUAAGUCUGAUGUGAAAGCCUUCGGCUCAACCGAAGAAGUGCAUCGGAAACUGGGAAACUUGAGUGCAGAAGAGGACAGUGGAACUCCAUGUGUAGCGGUGAAAUGCGUAGAUAUAUGGAAGAACACCAGUGGCGAAGGCGGCUGUCUGGUCUGUAACUGACGCUGAGGCUCGAAAGUAUGGGUAGCAAACAGGAUUAGAUACCCUGGUAGUCCAUACCGUAAACGAUGAAUGCUAAGUGUUGGAGGGUUUCCGCCCUUCAGUGCUGCAGCUAACGCAUUAAGCAUUCCGCCUGGGGAGUACGGCCGCAAGGCUGAAACUCAAAGGAAUUGACGGGGGCCCGCACAAGCGGUGGAGCAUGUGGUUUAAUUCGAAGCUACGCGAAGAACCUUACCAGGUCUUGACAUACUAUGCAAAUCUAAGAGAUUAGACGUUCCCUUCGGGGACAUGGAUACAGGUGGUGCAUGGUUGUCGUCAGCUCGUGUCGUGAGAUGUUGGGUUAAGUCCCGCAACGAGCGCAACCCUUAUUAUCAGUUGCCAGCAUUAAGUUGGGCACUCUGGUGAGACUGCCGGUGACAAACCGGAGGAAGGUGGGGAUGACGUCAAAUCAUCAUGCCCCUUAUGACCUGGGCUACACACGUGCUACAAUGGAUGGUACAACGAGUUGCGAACUCGCGAGAGUAAGCUAAUCUCUUAAAGCCAUUCUCAGUUCGGAUUGUAGGCUGCAACUCGCCUACAUGAAGUCGGAAUCGCUAGUAAUCGCGGAUCAGCAUGCCGCGGUGAAUACGUUCCCGGGCCUUGUACACACCGCCCGUCACACCAUGAGAGUUUGUAACACCCAAAGUCGGUGGGGUAACCUUUUAGGAACCAGCCGCCUAAGGUGGGACAGAUGAUUAGGGUG